GUCUAUGGCCAUACAACCCUGAACGUGCCUGAUCUCAUCUGAUCUCAGAAGCUAAGCAGGGUCGAGCCUGGUUAGUACUUGGAUGGGAGAUAGAAUCUCUCACAGGGCCACUCGUUAGGCUAGGCUGGCUGGAUA
RNAcentral lists this ribosomal RNA (135 nucleotides) under Nannospalax galili (Upper Galilee mountains blind mole rat). The record is from RNAcentral. Lineage: Eukaryota; Metazoa; Chordata; Mammalia; Rodentia; Spalacidae.